GAAAUGCGAUACGUAAUGUGAAUUGCAGAAUUCAGUGAAUCAUCGAAUCUUUGAACGCACAUUGCGCCCGCUAGUAUUCUGGCGGGCAUGCCUGUCCGAGCGUCAUUUCAACCCAUCAAGCUUAGCGCUUGUGUUGGAGCCCUGCGGCCGCCGCAGCCUCCUAAAAUCAGUGGCGGGCUCGCUAUCACGCUGAGUGCAGUAGUAUUCUUCUCACUCCUGUGGUGUAGCGGGUAACCAGCCGUAAACCCCCCCAUCUAUAAAGGUUGACCUCGGAUCAGGUAGGAAUACCCGCUGAACUUAA
This 301-nucleotide unclassified non-coding RNA is filed under the name uncultured Lasiosphaeriaceae. Its description in RNAcentral is "sequence contains ITS1". The stretch from base 1 to 105 matches the Rfam family "5.8S ribosomal RNA", at positions 50 to 154 of the family's 154-position model. The record is from RNAcentral. Lineage: Eukaryota; Fungi; Ascomycota; Sordariomycetes; Sordariales; Lasiosphaeriaceae.